CAACUCCCCUCAAGUAUCACAGUUUGUAAGUGGAUCUUUCUUUUAUUCUGUAAGAAUUGUAGAGAAGAAAGGCACACAAAUCUCUCUCACCCUCUCUCCCUCACACAAUUUCUCUCCAAUUUUUCCCUUCUCCUUCCAUAAUAAAGAAGGAUCCCACAAUCCAUUCCUUGUCGAACAAUAGCGAGGAAGAUCUGGUGGUAGUGUCUUGGUUCUGUUCGUGGAAUUUCUGGGAGUUCCUAAGGAGAAUGAUUACGUCAUAGAAAGUCUUCAAGGUUGAAGCUUUCAUCAAAGCCUGUUCAUGUAAUUCCAACAGUCAGUAAGAAAAUGUCAAUAUUAUAUUGUUCUUGGAGAAACUUGAGGUAAUGGAUUAGGAGCUGACCAUCUUAAAGUUCUGCAUAGAAAUGAACCCGUUUUUGUUCGGACCUAAGAGAUCAAAUUGUUCUCGAAGAUAAGCAAGCUGCACGAAGGAUAAUGUCUUUGCAAGAGCCUGUCAGAAAUGCAGAACUUUAUUCCCAUAGUCCAGGGCUUCCAUAUCAAGUCUAAAAUGUUUCAUAGCAAAGUAUACUGCACUUUUAGCAUGACUCUCCUUUUGUGAUCAAUGAAAAAUCAUCUAUGCUUUUGAAAUAGUUAUCAAA
Molecule: long non-coding RNA, 635 nt
Organism: Cucumis sativus (cucumber)
Lineage: Eukaryota; Viridiplantae; Streptophyta; Magnoliopsida; Cucurbitales; Cucurbitaceae
Exons: 2
Source: RefSeq, a predicted model, not a curated record